CAGCAGCCACGGUAAUACGUAGGUCCCGAGCGUUGUCCGGAUUUAUUGGGCGUAAAGGGAGCGCAGGCGGUUUAGUAAGUCUGAAGUUAAAGGCAUUGGCUCAACCAAUGUAUGCUUUGGAAACUGUUAGACUUGAGUGCAGAAGGGGAGAGUGGAAUUCCAUGUGUAGCGGUGAAAUGCGUAGAUAUAUGGAGGAACACCGGUGGCGAAAGCGGCUCUCUGGUCCGUCACUGACGCUGAGGCUCGAAAGCGUGGGUAGCGAACAGGAUUAGAUACCCCAGUAGUCCCUGUCUCUUAUACC
RNAcentral lists this ribosomal RNA (301 nucleotides) under uncultured bacterium. RNAcentral describes it as "partial 16S ribosomal RNA". It matches the Rfam family "Bacterial small subunit ribosomal RNA", at positions 509 to 808 of the family's 1533-position model. The record is from RNAcentral.